CAGUCGCCGCGGUAAUACGGAGGGGGCUAGCGUUGUUCGGAAUUACUGGGCGUAAAGCGCACGUAGGCGGCUUGGUAAGUUAGAGGUGAAAGCCUGGAGCUCAACUCCAGAAUUGCCUUUAAGACUGCCGAGCUAGCAGGUGAGAGAGGUAAGUGGAAUUCCGAGUGUAGAGGUGAAAUUCAUAGAUAUUCGGAAGAACACCAGUGGCGAAGGCGGCUUACUGGCUCAUACUGGACGCUGAGGUGCAAAAGCGUGGGGAGCAAACAGGAUUAGAGACCCCUGUAGUCCCUGUCUCUUAUAA
Molecule: ribosomal RNA, 301 nt
Filed under: uncultured bacterium
Lineage: Bacteria
Description: partial 16S ribosomal RNA
Rfam family: Bacterial small subunit ribosomal RNA
Source: RNAcentral